RNAcentral lists this long non-coding RNA (834 nucleotides) under Androctonus crassicauda. The record is from RNAcentral. Lineage: Eukaryota; Metazoa; Arthropoda; Arachnida; Scorpiones; Buthidae.
GUGGUAGCCAAUUGUCUACUCAACUUUUUGAAAUUUGUCAAGCCCUGUUAUUGAAAAACCCUUCCUAUAGUUAUAGAAAACCAGGUAAUCACAUUUUACAGGAACACUAACUCAAGUAUAAGAUUAAUAUUCAAAAACAGUAUUCAAUAUCUGUAAAAAUAUACAAGAUUAGUAUGAGAAAUGUUUUCGGUCCUAUGAUAGACCAACUUCAGUUCUUACUACUUCGAUUCAUUUAACCAUCAUCAGGAUCGAAAACUUUUCUCAUAUUAAAAUGGUUUAUGUUUAUUCUGCUACCGAUGAUGAUAUUGAGUAUUAAUUAUAUGAUCUACGGAAGCAGUGGAUAAACUGAUGUUAAAAGAUGCAAUAUUGUCUGAGAACACUUUGUUAAACUAUAUUCUAAUAGAAUAAUUAGUAGGUGCACUGCAUGGAAAUGAUUCGACUUUCCAGUUAAAAGAUUCGAGAAUGAAUCAAGAUCUCACUCUUUAUGCGAGGAUCGAGUCCAACUUGUCUUUCUUCUUCCUCUACAAUUUGGCUGACCUCCAUUGGUACAUUCAACAUGUGAUAGGGACUGAAAUGGCACCAUUAUUAGCGAAUGAUCAAAAACGGACAUUAAAAAGUAAUCAAGGAUAUAAAAAAGACACCUUAGAAUUUACAUACAUUAUUAGAAAAAAGUAGUGUUUCUUUCCUGUAAAUCUUAAUAUAUAACUGCUAUUUUAACGUUUGGCAAUUAAAAUUUAUACUUAAAUCAUAUUUAUUCAUUCAUUUCAAUAUUGGAUAAUAUAUUAAUGAUAACAUAGAUGAUAAAAUUUAUCAAAUAGUAUCAAUUCUAGUACC